GACGAACGCUGGCGGCGUGCUUAACACAUGCAAGUCGAACGGAAAGGCCCUGCUUUUGUGGGGUGCUCGAGUGGCGAACGGGUGAGUAACACGUGAGUAACCUGCCCUUGACUUUGGGAUAACUUCAGGAAACUGGGGCUAAUACCGGAUAGGAGCUCCUGCUGCAUGGUGGGGGUUGGAAAGUUUCGGCGGUUGGGGAUGGACUCGCGGCUUAUCAGCUUGUUGGUGGGGUAGUGGCUUACCAAGGCUUUGACGGGUAGCCGGCCUGAGAGGGUGACCGGCUACAUUGGGACUGAGAUACGACCCAGACUCCUACGGGAGGCAGCAGUGGGGAAUAUUGCACAAUGGGCGGAAGCCUGAUGCAGCAACGCCGCGUGCGGGAUGACGGCCUUCGGGUUGUAAACCGCUUUCGCCUGUGACGAAGCGUGAGUGACGGUAAUGGGUAAAGAAGCACCGGCUAACUACGUG
This 468-nucleotide ribosomal RNA is filed under the name uncultured bacterium. RNAcentral's name for it is "partial 16S ribosomal RNA". It matches the Rfam family "Bacterial small subunit ribosomal RNA", at positions 28 to 507 of the family's 1533-position model. The record is from RNAcentral.